GGAGUUGAGCAUAUGCGCGAGUCAUUGGGACUAGCUAAUCCUAAAGGCGUAAUGUAAAUGAAAUCAUAUGCAUAUACUAUAUGUAUAGUACAUGAGGGAAGAUGGGUACCGUCUAAGGCUGCCCCGCACUCCCGGGGCGUUUCAUUCGUACUGUACGAUGAGGCGCUCUCAUAGCGUAUAUGCUCUUACCCGAAAGAUAGUGAACUAUACUUGAUCAGGACGAAGUCAGGGGAAACCCUGAUGGAGGUCCGCAGCGAUUCUGACGUGCAAAUCGAUCGUCGGAAUUGAGUAUAGGGGCGAAAGACCAAUCGAACUAUCUAGUAGCUGGUUCCCGCCGAAGUUUCCCUUAGGAUAGCUGGCAUUCAAACCACAAAUAAAUCGAUAUAGUUUUACUAUAUCAAUCAUUACGCUAAUAGCAUCUGGUAAAGCGAAUGAUUAGAGGCAUUGGGGACGAAACGUCCUCAACCUAUUCUCAAACUUUAAAUGGGUGAGAACGAUGACUUACAUAAGUGAAGUCACACACUAUAAUAUAUUAUAUUAUAAAUGUUGUAUACGAAUGCUAAGUGGGCCAUUUUUGGUAAGCAGAACUGGCGCUGUGGGAUGAACCAAACGUUGAGUUAAAGUGCCUAAAUGUACGCUCAUCAGAUACCACAAAAGGUGUUAGUAACUAAAGACAUUAGGACGGUGACCAUGGAAGUC
This 699-nucleotide ribosomal RNA is filed under the name Deinopsis erosa. RNAcentral's name for it is "eukaryotic LSU rRNA". It matches the Rfam family "Eukaryotic large subunit ribosomal RNA", at positions 670 to 1262 of the family's 3401-position model. Lineage: Eukaryota; Metazoa; Arthropoda; Insecta; Coleoptera; Staphylinidae. The record is from RNAcentral.